Molecule: long non-coding RNA, 269 nt
Organism: Hipposideros armiger (great roundleaf bat)
Lineage: Eukaryota; Metazoa; Chordata; Mammalia; Chiroptera; Hipposideridae
Exons: 3
Source: RefSeq, a predicted model, not a curated record
UCGAGCCUCGGUUAAAGGACAGCUGUUUCAGUCAAUAAAGAGAGAGCAUCAGUGGGUGUUUCCUGGGAGAGGACGCCGGAAGUCAUAUUUCGCCUGCGGUAGGGAAGGAGGUUAACAGAGUAAACACCCAGAGCUGAGGCGACCCCUGAGAAAGGGUCGUUCAACCCCCAAAGGGGUCGCGACCCACAGGUUGAGAGCUGCUGAUCUAGAGAAGUGAUCGAGAAAUGAACGCUGAGCCAUCCUGCCACCUGUUGGCAGCUCAGCGGCUG